UUAGAUCUUGCACAAGAAAAUCAAGCACUUCCAGAAAAUACUUGUAAUUAUAAUUUGCAAUCCAUGAAAAGAAUAGCACAGAUUGACAAAGCAUAUUGAAUGUAAAUCCUACACGACCAAAUGGUCUUAGCAACAAGAAAAAUAUUGAUUGAAAUGCGAAGGUUGUUGAUUUGUAUGAAAAAGGAGACCAACCUUCCUCCCAGAUUGUAAAAUGAUCCAACAAGUCAGCUUGUUGCAUAUAUCAAAAUAACUUUCUGAGUUGUAAUGAAUCAUAUCAACUUGUUUGAUUGAAUGUUUCAAAACGUUCAUGUAGACUUGGGCUCAGAUACUUGGGACACAACCUCUUGUUGAUUUCUUACUACAUUAUCUGCACAACAACUUCAAGAGUUCUUUAAUCAGUUGCACCCAACACCUCGGAAAAUUUACGAAAACUACUGUUCAACUAACAAUCACUUCUCCAACUGAAUUCCAUAUAAUUCAAUCUGGUGCACCAAAGAAAUAAUUCAAUCUGAACCAAAAGUCUUUAACAAGAGAUGCCAAUUCUAACACCAUUAGAUUGCAUAAAGACAAAGUAAUCAUUUUUCUCAAGAAUCAACACUUGGAUACUGUGCAUAAUUUCACUUCAUAAAUCUGUGCACCGUCAUGCUUCGAAACAUAUACAAUUCCUAUGGCCUGCAUACCCAGUUUAUGGUAGCCCAUCAAUUACAUAUACACAAACACUCAGGAUGCACAUGUUCAUACAAGUGUGAUUGCACAUAGCACACUCUUUUUAUUUUUAUUUUGAAAUCUCUCUCUCUCUCUCUCUCUCUCUCUCUCUCUCUUUGCACCGUCAUGCUUCGAAACAUACACAAUUCCUAUGGCCUGCAUACCCAGUUUAUGGUAGCCCAUCAAUUACAUAUAUACAAACACUCAUGAUGCACAUGUUCAUACAAGUGUGAUUGCACAUAGCACACUCUUUUUAUUUGUUUUUGAAACAAGUCUCUCCACGUAAAUUUACACACGCACUGCACAGACACAAGUGCAUCUCAUAUGCCUCUGUGUGUGCAUGUUGUUCUAUGCUGUGUGGAUACCAUUUUGAUAGUAUCCAUUGGGCACCAAUGUGCACCCAGCAAAGAAAUUUCACUCUUUCCAUGUGUUUUUGAAACAAAUGUCAAAUUAAUCAAUUCUCUAAGUUUAUCUCAGCUGGCUGAAUAUAUUAUUGUAUAAUCUACAGCUUGUCAUUUUCCACACAUAUACUUUGA
RNAcentral lists this long non-coding RNA (1241 nucleotides) under Populus trichocarpa (black cottonwood). RNAcentral describes it as "long non-coding RNA (PTRI_LNC004247)". Lineage: Eukaryota; Viridiplantae; Streptophyta; Magnoliopsida; Malpighiales; Salicaceae. The record is from RNAcentral.